This 430-nucleotide ribosomal RNA is filed under the name Bacillota bacterium. RNAcentral's name for it is "Firmicutes bacterium partial 16S ribosomal RNA". It matches the Rfam family "Bacterial small subunit ribosomal RNA", at positions 355 to 776 of the family's 1533-position model. The record is from RNAcentral. Lineage: Bacteria; Bacillati; Bacillota.
UAGGGAAUCUUCCGCAAUGGACGAAAGUCUGACGGAGCAACGCCGCGUGAGCGAAGAAGGUCUUCGGAUCGUAAAGCUCUGUUGUCAGGGAAGAACAAGUACCGUUCGAACAGGGCGGUACCUUGACGGUACCUGACGAGGAAGCCACGGCUAACUACGUGCCAGCAGCCGCGGUAAUACGUAGGUGGCAAGCGUUGUCCGGAAUUAUUGGGCGUAAAGCGCGCGCAGGCGGUCCCUUAAGUCUGAUGUGAAAGCCCACGGCUUAAUCGUGGAGGGUCAUUGGAAACUGGGGGACUUGAGUGCAGAAGAGGAGAGCGGAAUUCCACGUGUAGCGGUGAAAUGCGUAGAGAUGUGGAGGAACACCAGUGGCGAAGGCGGCUCUCUGGUCUGUAACUGACGCUGAGGCGCGAAAGCGUGGGGAGCAAACAGG